Molecule: long non-coding RNA, 112 nt
Organism: Ipomoea nil (Japanese morning glory)
Lineage: Eukaryota; Viridiplantae; Streptophyta; Magnoliopsida; Solanales; Convolvulaceae
Exons: 3
Source: RefSeq, a predicted model, not a curated record
UUUUCAGGCAACAAGGGCAGAAGCUCAGAUAGGUUCUUUAACUUCACAACUUUUUUAAUGGUCCAAUUCGUUCGUAAAGUUUAUCAUCAUGGAUUAUAUAUAGGUUGAGAAA